GUAAUAUCUGCAAGAAAAAAAUAGGUUUUUCUUCAGAGGCGGUGCUGCGCAUGCGUUUAUUUGGCUGCCAAAAAACGACUGUCCUCCAUUUUGCAAAGAGAUCUGCACUUUUGACUUUUAACGUUACUGAUUGGAUCAGGAAAUGCCUGUGAGGCUUGGGUAUUCAGGCAAGCUACAGGUCAAAGAUGCGUAACCUUGGAUGUCCAGUGACCGCUGUUUUCCAGAAGAAGAAGGUCCAGAAGAAGGUUUGAAGGACAUAAAAUUGCUAAACAUUUGAGGAUUUUGCAAGGUGUAGACAGAGACUGUACAUCUGAGGAGGGAGGCAGCCAUCAAGACCCUGUGCCUUUAUUUAGGUGAUGAUUCUCUCAUACAUGUACAUGGAUAUCCAUGGCAAGGAGGUGUCAAGAGAAAACCACCCCUUGGAACAUGAGGACAUCGGCAUUGCUGUGGAUGGAGGCAUCAUUUUGGAGGAACCUUGGUCUGUUGCACAAGACUGUGCAGUGAAGCCAGAGACUUUCUAAUGAGGAGACACAGCACUCGAAAAAUCCUCCAUAGA
Molecule: long non-coding RNA, 556 nt
Organism: Alosa alosa (allis shad)
Lineage: Eukaryota; Metazoa; Chordata; Actinopteri; Clupeiformes; Clupeidae
Exons: 4
Source: RefSeq, a predicted model, not a curated record